UUCACCAUGUUGACCAGGCUGGUCUUGAAUUCCUGAUCUCAGGUGAUCCGCCCGCCUCAGUCUCCCAAAGUGCUGGGAUUACAGGAGUGAGCCACCGUGCCUGGCAUUUUGCUCUGUUUUACCAAAAACAAACACAAAGAAAGAACAACAACAGAAAAAUUCUUAAAUACAUUGAUAGGCUGGAGAAUUUUAAUCUUUUUCACUUAUUUAAAUCCAAGUACAUUUUAUAACUUCUUUAUACUAGCUGUCAACAUGUUGGGCAAUCUGUCUAAGUAGGGAUGAAUGACUCUUAAAAAAUCCUGGAGAGUUUCCCUUGAAGCCAAGCAUGGGGUUGUUUAAAUAAACUUCUUGUUUAAAAUGAAAAACAAAAAAUAAAUAUAAAAAUAAAAACAUGGUCAACUUUCUUUAGCUGCCAAGUGUCUCCGUUGGCCUGAAGAUGACGAAGGGGGGAUUUUGUUGUGUAGAAAGUUCUAAAUCUUCCCAGGAGUCCAUGAACCUCUUGUGCCUCAGGUGAGCAAGAGUAGUCUCCCCACGCCCACCUCUGUAAGGUGCCUGUGGUGAGAUUUCCAAGUCCACCCUGGGGCCAGAACCGGUCCAUCCUGGCCCAGGAGGUGCGUGGAGUGUGGGUGUGGGUGGGUGUCUGUCCCAUACCCUGGCAAAUGUCCCUAGCCCCAAACUUCAGCUUUGCCAUGGGGACCAAAGUUAAAAGUCCAACCAGCAUGGAAAGUUGGAACUCCACAGAGCCUAUGAGGUAAAGGUGAACUUAAAGAAAUAGAAAAAACCUUCUCCAUCUCCGCAUAGUCAAAUACUACAAAAGAAGAUGUUUUGAUAGAAGCAAAAGGAAAACAAAAAGCCAAACCCUCUCUGAAAACUUGGAACUAUCCAAGUUUUGGAUAUACUUGGAGCCCUUGAGAUUUGCAAACCAAAUUGCCAUAACCUAUGUGGUCCAAAAACCCUCAAGUGAUGAUUAGUUUAAAAUGGUCCCAAACAGGUCCUUGAACUAGAAACUUGGCAAAAACAAACACAUUCUCUCUGGGGAAAGCUACCCACCUUCAUAGCAGGCCUCCAAGUAUUGACCAAGAUAACUUUUUCAAGGGCAGUGAUUUACUUAUAGUCAAAAUUAAGUAAGCACACAAGGAAAAACCAAGCAUACUGAGAACUAGCAAGAAUUAAAAGCAAAACAAAGACUUCAGAAAUUAACAUUAUUAGACAUAUUAAUUGUGCUUACUAUGUUGCAAGAAAUAAAAGGCAAGCUUAAACAUAUCUUCAGGAAAUAGGCAAUCAAAAGACAGAACGAAUUUGAGAAAGAAAGAAAAUUUCUAGAAAUAAAAAAAAAAAAAACAUAACUAGGCAGGGAGCAGUGGCUCAUGCCUGUAAUCCCAGCACUUUGGGAGGCUGAAUGGGGAGAAUCACAAGGUCAGGAGUAAGAGACCAGCCUGGCCAAUAUGGUGAAAGCCUAUCUCUACUAAAAACACAAAAAAAUUAGCCAGGCAUGGUGGCGCAUGCCUGUAAUCCCAGCUACUCAGGAGGCUGAGGCAGGAGAAUUGCUUGAACCUGGGAGGUUGAGGUUGCAGUGAGUCAAGAUUGCGCCACUGUACUCCAGCCUGGGCUACAGAGCAAGACUCCAUCUCAAAAAAAAAAAAAAAAAAAAAAAAAAACCUAAAAAUUUAAACCAGACACAGCUGAAAAGAGAAAGGUAAUUGGAAGAUCAUAAAAAAUCACUCAGAAUGUACUACAGAGAGACAAAAGGUGAAAAAUAUGAAAAAGAAGCCAAGUGAAAGAACAAUUAACAGAAUUUUCCAGAAUGAAGAAAGACACCAAUUCACAAAUUCAGAAGCUUAUAAAUUCGAUUAAAUAAAAACAAAUUUACCCUACACACACAGUGAAUCUACAGAAUACCGAAGGCAAAGAAACCUUAAAAUGUGCUAGAAAAAAAAGAGAUUGCAUUCAAAGUAGUGUCAGACAACAACUGAGUCAGAAGCCAGUAGAAUGAUAUAUUCAAUAAACAAAGAAAAAUAAUUGCUAACUUAGAAUUUUAUAUCCAGUGAAAAUAUUUCUUUAAAAAAGAGAGUAAGAUCAGGACAUUUCAGAAUAGCAAAAACAGAGUUGCCAUCUGCAAAAUAAGGAGAUUCAGGAUAUAUUCUUCAUGUGGAAGGAAAAUGAUCCCAGAUGGAAGGGAAGAGAGGCAAAAGGGAAUGAGGAACAAAGUGGUAAGUACAUGGGUAAAUCUGAAUGAGAAUUGAGUGCAUAAAACAAUGUCUUGUGGAGUUUUAAAAAGUGAACAAUGAAAAUAACAUACCAUGACAAUAUAUAAGCAGGAAAAGGAAUCAAUAGAGUUAAUGCAUUCUACAUUCCUUGGGAAAAGGAUAGUUACUGAUUAAUUUUGGGUUUCAAUAAGUAUGCACUUUGUAAUUUCUAGGGUAUACAUUAAGAGAAUUGAAAAUUUUCAAACUAUGAGAGGAAAAAAUAAACUGGAGCUACAAGAAAUGACCAGCCAAAAGAAGGCAGGAAAAGAAAAUAAAUGAAACACAGAACAGGUGGGAUAAAUAGCUCAAAAUAGGACUGCAAUUUAAUCUGAAAUGUCAGUAAAUACAUGCAAACAGACUAAGUGCUCCAAUUAAAAGAUUGUCAGGAUUUAAAAAAUCAACUAUAUGAAGUUUAUAAGAGAUAUAUAUCAAACAAGUAUACAGGAAGGUUAAAAGUAAAAGGAUGGAAAAAAUACAUACCAUGCAAAUGAGAGAAAGCUGGUCAGAUAGCCUUAAUGUCAGAGAAGACAGAUAUUAAGUCAAAAGCAUUAUUAAAAAGAUAGAUUAUUCAUAAUGAUAAUGUUCAAUUCAUCAGUAAGUUAUAACAGUUGUAAAUUUGUGAUCACCUAAUAACAUGGUAUCAAAUUAUGUGAAGCAAAAAUUAAUAGAAGUGGACAAAUUCACCAUAUUAGAUUUUUAAGUACGAAGUAAUUAAUAGAGCCAGCAGAAAAAAAUAAGGGAAGUUAUCAAAGAGUUAAACAAUGUCAUUAAUAAACUUGACCUAACUUCACCCAGUGAUUGCAGAAUGCACAUUCUUUCCAAACACACACAGGGCAUUUAUAAAAAGGAACAUAUACUGGGCUAUAAAGCAAGUAUUGAUAAUUGCUAAAGGAUUAAAAUCAUGCACAACAUGUUCUCUGAACACAGUGCAAUUAAUCUAGAAAUCAAUAACAAAAUGAUGCCUAGAGAUAUAGAGUUAAGGAGUUGGGUAUGCAAGCCUGAGCUUGAGGUGAAAAUCUAGGCAUCCUAUGGCUUAUGAAUGGAAAAAUUUGGAAUUCAACCUGAGUCUCCUUCACAUCCAUUUGGUGGGAUACCAUAAAGCCUUUCCUGUCCAUAGCAUCCUUCUGCAUUGACAUUUUAAAAUAUAUAUAAAAUACAUAAAAUAAUACUAAAAUGGCCUAUGACUAGAUUAUUGAAUAAUCAGACAAUUCAAUCAUCUCUUCCCUUAGAGUUAAUAUUCUUAACACUUUAUGGUUGUAGGCUGUAAUUUCACAUUCUCUUAAAAUAAGCCUUUUUCUUUUACUAAGAUUUAUUAGUGGAAGCCUAUCCAAGAUUUAGUUUGGAUAACCCAGGGUCAAGUCCUUACAUAGGCCUCGAGAGCUAUAAAAAAACAGAUGCAGAAUCUGGAGUCUUGUGAAAUAUUCCAGACCGGCUUCUUGACUUAUAGUGGGCAAAAUUGCACGUCAGUAUUUUAAUCAAAUAAAGCACUCAUUUCCUCUGACAUUAAAUGCAGUCUGGAUUUUCUGUUUCUCAGGUGGAUAUUUUAUAUAGUUAUGAAGGCUAUUUUUGAAGAAUUAAUUUUCCUCACAUUUAAACUUGUUUUCUUAUUAGAGAUACAACCUAACCAGCUACCCAGUUCUUUGUGCCAUGAAACUCCUUCAGAAUGUCUGGUUUAUUGUACUGAGAGUGACUAUUGCAUCUAAAUCACUUCUCCAAAGUUACCAGGAGAGGACUCUAAGGUCACACCAGCCCCAGAUGGUCUUGACAAAUGUGAACAGCAUGAAAAGCAGGAAAUGCAGGAAAACAAGACAGAGGAAAUGGUAGAUCCAUUUGUAUCUUUUAAGGAGACAUGGUGAAAAAAAAUCCAUGAUAAGCUGUAAACCUGAAGACGAAUCAUGAAAAAAUAAUUGCCAUGAAACUGUAGUAAAUUCCCAGGUGUGUGGGGAAGAGAUACUCCAUGUUUUAGAAGAUGAGUUACACUCAAGUCCCAAGAAGGAAGAUCUGAGUGGUAGAUGUUUCCAUUUUUAUGUUACUAAUGAUGAAACUAAGGCCCAGAGAAGUAAAGGAGCUUGCCUAAGAUGCUCUGAAAAUAUGUGGGAGAAACCACCAAACCGUUAUUAUAAUAAAUGAUCAUAAAUGAUGGAAUAAAGAAAAACCCAUAAGAGAGGAAAAUAAACCCCAGGACACUGUGAAAGGCCUGGCAAAUGCAACCUACAAUCCAUUUUGUGAUAUUGAUGAACUAUAACAUUGACUUACCCUGUUUUUGUCACCAAAGGAAGCCACUGAGCCACGGUUAUGAGAUUUCUUCUUGGACAUUUGAAAGUGAGAUUUUCCAAAUUCUUAUUUUUCAGAAGUUGAUGAAUUUCAGCCCUAGGCAGGAUUUUUAUAAAACAAAUUUAAGGGAGAAUAUAUUUUAGAUAAUUUAUUUGUGCUGCGAUUUAUCACCUGUUGGUUGAAGAUUGGUGUUUCAGGUGAUGCUGUUGUAAGUAGUACUGCAAACACUUUCUGCUUUUAAGUGUGUACAGCUCUCAAAAUCUGAAUUACAUGGUAUACUGCUUUUGUAAAGUGUAUGUUUUCAAUGGUAUAAAGGACUUUUAAAGUUUAUUUUGAUAUUUUAAAUCAUCAAUCACCUGUACAUAGAAUUUGUUGUUUUUCACCUUUUCUACGUUGUUACAAAUGUAUCCCAGUCACUAGGCCAUAGUUGUCUAGGUUUUCACAAAGGUGUUUCUUUUCUCCAUGUCUUUUCCAAAAGACUUUCCAAGCUCUAGGAUUCAAGGCAGACCUCUCGUACCUCUUACAUCUUACUUAAAUCUAAUUUGGGCUUCAGGGAAAACACUGAAGACACAACCAGUACCUGAAACUUUUUUAGUCUUAGUGUUUUGAUUUAUCCUUGGUCACUUCCCCUAGCCUAUGAAGGGAAUUUCUGAUUGAGUUCUGCAUCUCUGAUUUUUAAAAUUUUGAUCAUAAUUCAUUUUUCCUGAGAAAGCGUUUUUAUAUUUUAGGAGUAUAAACCUAAGAAUUCACAAUGGUAUUUUUUCUUAUAGGAAUGCAUGAGAUGAUUUGCCUUUCUAAAAGUAAAUGUAAAACCUAUAAACUAUGUGAUUAUGCUUUCCCAAGUUUCUAGGAAUCAACCCAAGUGCAAUUAUUAUAAACAUGUAAGAAAUCAUGUCUACCAUUGAAAAUAUAAAAUUUAAAAAUAUAUAUUUGUUCAUAACAGAACCUAUAAUCAGCAACUUCUUUGUUUUCCUUGUCUUACUGUUCCUUCUUAUAAUUGUUGACAGACACGCAUUGUAAAAAGAAUGGAAGUUCAGUAUUUGUGGGAAAGAAUUUCAGAGUUAUUUCUAGUAAUUCCCUUGCUCCCUUAAUGAGCCGGUAUGAGAUUUUUUUUAAUGUGUAGAAGACUUUAUUUUGUUAACACUUGCUCUAAUCCAGCUUCAUAAAGUGGAAGUUUUCUCUCUCCACUGAUGCUAUGGGAAAUCUGAGAAUUCAGGCCCUAUCCAUUGCUGUUGGUCCAUCCCCCUGAAAAUGAUCUUUAGCUUUUGGUCUGCUAGAGAAAAAUAAUGAUUUUUAUGGCUCCAAAGUGUCUUUUUAAAAUAGAGAUUUUUUUGAUAUCUUUCAACUCACCUUUUAUGUUUUCUGAUAAUAAUAAAAUAAUCCUGUGCGUAAAUGCCCUUUUAUACAGAUGUGUGACAAGUAGUUGAAUAGACAGAACUUCUAGUUGAAUAAAUAAUUUUGUACUUUUUUAAAAUUAAGAAUUACUCUUUUUUUUUGAGACAGAGUCUGGCUCUGUGCCCAGGCUGGAGUGCAAUGGUGCUGUCUUGGCUCAUUGCAACCUUGACCUCCCAGGUUCAAGCGAUUCUCCUGCCUCAGCCUCCCGAGGAGCUGGGACUACAGGCGUGCGCCACCGUGCCCAGCUAAUUUUUUUUUUUUUUUGUAUUUUUAGUAGAGACGGGGUUUCACCAUUUUGGCUAGGAUGGUUUCUACUCUUGACCUCAUGAUCCACCUGCCUCAGCCUCCCAAAGUGCAUUACAGGCGUGAGCCACUGCACCUGGCCCAAGAAUUACUUUUUAAAUGAAAAUCCACAGAUUCUUGUUUUAUAUUUUUGGAUUUUCAGAUCUUGAUAUCUUUUCAAGAAGGGCAUAGUCUUGAUAAAUAAUAUUCAAAAAUAUAUUAACAUAAAUACUAUGUAUGUUCCUGUAAUUUCAGAGCUUCACUAUGUAUGCCCAUAUAUGUAUAUGUGUAUAUAUGUGUGCCUGUGUGUGCGUGUGUUUCUGGUACAAAUUGAUUUAAUAAACUAUUUGAAGAAAAAACUA
Gorilla gorilla gorilla (western lowland gorilla) is the source of this 6559-nucleotide long non-coding RNA. RefSeq lists it as uncharacterized. Lineage: Eukaryota; Metazoa; Chordata; Mammalia; Primates; Hominidae. The record is from RefSeq and is a predicted model, not a curated record. The transcript has 2 exons.